GUUUUCUUUCCUCUUUUCACUCUCGCCCUCUAGGAAAAAAAUUUAUUGAUUCUUGAAGAUUGAGAAGAUUUUAAUCAACUUUCGAAGAGUAAUCUACAAGAUGUCGGGUUCGUACGGUUAUGAAGGUGAUGGAUCUGCUCCCCCGCCCAUGGGCGGUGGAGGUUACGGAGGAUAUGGGGGAGGAAAUAGUGGUGGUGGCAGUGGAUAUGGAAAUUAUGGUGGCAGCGGCGGCGGGGGCUAUGGUGGUAAUAGAGGCGGCGGAAGAGGAGGAGGUGGAGGUGGGGGAUACGGAGGAGGCGGUGGCUGCUACCAAGGAGAUCGUGGGGGACGUGGCGGUUACCAAGGAGAUCGCGGGGGACGUGGUGGUGGUGGCGGUGGCGGUGGCGGCGGCGGCGGCAGAGGUGGUGGGAGUGGCAGGGAAGGCGAUUGGCGAUGCCCUAAUCCAGGGUGUGGGAAUUUGAACUUCGCUCGAAGAACUGAGUGUAACAAAUGUGGUGCAGCGUCUCCUGCUGGUUCUGAUGAUCGUGGGGGUAGAGGUGGUGGUGGUGGAAAUACUCGUGGGGGAAGAGGUGGUAACUAUUAUGAUAGUGGAAGUGGUAGGGGUGGUAAUGAUUUUGAUGGAAGAAAUAGUAGAGGUGGUUCUUAUGGCGGUAGUCAAGGAAGAGAUUAUAGUGGGUAUGGACAGGAUACUCCAGUUGCUCCUGCAUCUUAUAAUGGGGUGGGUAACAACUACCCCCCACCUCCUCGUGCCUAUGGCGGGAGCCCUAAUUAUGCUCCAGACGCAGUUCCUCCGCCUGCAAGCUAUACUGGUGGCCCUGCUUCAUAUCCUCCAUCAUAUGGUGCUCAGGCUAGUUAUGGUGGUGAUGCACAUAGUGAUAGCCGUGGUGGGGGACGAGGUGGCCCACCUGGUGGCUAUGGAGGAGAUUCUCGAAACCCAUCUGGAGGUUAUGGUAGUGCUGAAACAGACGCUCCAGCAGCAGUCAAGCAGUGUGAUGAAAGUUGUGGUGACUCCUGUGACAACGCAAGAAUUUAUGUCUCAAAUUUACCACCAGAUGUGACUACUGAUGAGCUUAGAGAUCUUUUUGGAAGUAUUGGACAAGUAGCAAGAAUCAAGCAAAAGCGAGGAUACAAGGACCAGUGGCCCUGGAGCAUAAAAAUAUACACAGAUGAACACGGAAACAGCAAAGGAGAUGCAGUUUUGUCCUAUGAAGAUCCAUCAGCUGCACAUUCAGCUGGUGGUUUUUUCAAUAUGCAUGAGAUGAGAGGUCACAAAAUUAGUGUCAUAAUGGCUGAGAAGUCAGCUCCAAAGGGUCCUCCUUCAUAUGGUUCUGGGGGAGGCGGUAGAGGUGGCUAUGGAGGUGAUCGACGUAGAGACAACUUCAGAGAAGGUGGUGGUUCUGGACCAAAUAGGAAUUAUCACGGUGGAAAUCGUUCGCGCCCAUACUGAACUUGCAGCAGAGCAUUUUAUGUACUUCUAAUAUUCUGAUGGGAGAGUUUUUUAUUUUAUUGCAUUCACGGAUUUAUUCUCUAAUGGAAACAGAGAGGCAAGUGGAUAUUCUCCAAAUUGCUGCUAAAGGUAGGUUGAAUUGUCAGGUGAGUGUUGCUUAUCUAGAUUGUAAUGCAUUGUUUGUUCUGACUGACUGUGUUUUGUGAUUUUGCUCUCAUGUUUAUUCCCCUUGAUUUGAUGGACCCAAGUAUGAAAGCAUAUCACCGCAGCAUACAGAUUCAGUUUUGGUUAAGAAUUUGUUUAAUCAUUUUCUUACCUUCCUCUCACCUUUAGGUCGUAGUUUUUGUUUACAUGACACGAUGAAUAGCUAGUAGCUGGUUGAUAAGUGGCCGAAGUUAAAGAAGGAAGAGAUUACUUUAGUUUACUCUUUGGGAACUAAAUCUUGAAGAAAAGAGUCUUGGUAGAACUAAAAUCUGGCGAAAGAUAUUUAGGUUGUGCCGUGUGUUCUGAUUGUACUUGUUGGGGGUUCUUUCCACUUGCCAGUCUGAUAAAUUGUCAUUUCCCUUCCUUACUUUAGUUGGCUUGAACAGUAAAUAUUUCAAAAUCUUUCCCUUUGGGUUGUGCUCGAGGUAGAUUUCCAUGUUGAUUACAUACUCACAUUUUUCUGUUUUUUUACUCGUAAAAGUGGUUGGUCUUUUUAAAAAAGAGAGAGGGCUCUUCAGCGUAGUUCUGAGUUAUUGGGUCUCUGAUUGUAGUCGUCUAUGAUAGUUCAAAAGCUGGACAAUGGAUUCUCUUCUGGUAGAAUGUUUGGAAGUAGAGUUGAGUUUGGAGGGCAGCGCAUUGAGCAUCGAAAUAUGGAUUAAAUACUGACCGAUCUUUAAAUCCGACGCUGAACUCUACAAUUUCGCAAAUUAGUGAAACUCAAGUUCUUGUAAUUCUGUAAAUGAUUUAUCAAGGCCAUUUCAACUUGGUGACCAUAUUUAGUAAUAUUGCUUCCAGAUAUAUUUGUUUAUUUUAUUUAACGCCCCCUUUUUGAGGUUA
Molecule: RNA transcript, 2488 nt
Organism: Olea europaea var. sylvestris
Lineage: Eukaryota; Viridiplantae; Streptophyta; Magnoliopsida; Lamiales; Oleaceae
Gene name: transcription initiation factor TFIID subunit 15b-like
Exons: 7
Source: RefSeq, a predicted model, not a curated record